GAUGAACGCUAGCUACAGGCUUAACACAUGCAAGUCGAGGGGAAACGGCAUUAAGUGCUUGCACUUUUUGGACGUCGACCGGCGCACGGGUGAGUAACGCGUAUCCAACCUUCCCAUGACUAAGGGAUAACCUGCCGAAAGGCAGACUAAUACCUUAUGGUCUUCACUGACGGCAUCAGAUGUGAAGUAAAGAUUUAUCGGUUAUGGAUGGGGAUGCGUCUGAUUAGCUUGUUGGCGGGGUAACGGCCCACCAAGGCAACGAUCAGUAGGGGUUCUGAGAGGAAGGUCCCCCACAUUGGAACUGGGACACGGUCCAAACUCCUACGGGAGGCAGCAGUGAGGAAUAUUGGUCAAUGGGCGAGAGCCUGAACCAGCCAAGUAGCGUGCAGGAUGACGGCCCUAUGGGUUGUAAACUGCUUUUGUAUGGGGAUAAAGUCAAUCACGUGUGAUUGUUUGCAGGUACCAUACGAAUAAGGACCGGCUAAUUCCGUG
RNAcentral lists this ribosomal RNA (492 nucleotides) under uncultured bacterium. Its description in RNAcentral is "partial 16S ribosomal RNA". It matches the Rfam family "Bacterial small subunit ribosomal RNA", at positions 28 to 507 of the family's 1533-position model. The record is from RNAcentral.